Molecule: ribosomal RNA, 490 nt
Filed under: uncultured bacterium
Lineage: Bacteria
Description: partial 16S ribosomal RNA
Rfam family: Bacterial small subunit ribosomal RNA
Source: RNAcentral
GCUGGCGGCGUGCCUAAUACAUGCAAGUCGAGCGAACAGACGAGGAGCUUGCUCCUCUGCCGUUAGCGGCGGACGGGUGAGUAACACGUGGAUAACCUACCUAUAAGACUGGGAUAACUUCGGGAAACCGGAGCUAAUACCGGAUAAUAUAUUGAACCGCAUGGUUCAAUAGUGAAAGACGGUUUUGCUGUCACUUAUAGAUGGAUCCGCGCCGCAUUAGCUAGUUGGUAAGGUAACGGCUUACCAAGGCGACGAUGCGUAGCCGACCUGAGAGGGUGAUCGGCCACACUGGAACUGAGACACGGUCCAGACUCCUACGGGAGGCAGCAGUAGGGAAUCUUCCGCAAUGGGCGAAAGCCUGACGGAGCAACGCCGCGUGAGUGAUGAAGGUCUUCGGAUCGUAAAACUCUGUUAUUAGGGAAGAACAAAUGUGUAAGUAACUAUGCACGUCUUGACGGUACCUAAUCAGAAAGCCACGGCUAACUACGUG